GUCUACGGCCAUACCACCCUGAACUGCCCAAUCUUGUCUGAUCUCAGAAGCUAAGCAGGGUCAGGCCUGGUUAGUACUAGGAUGGGAGAACCACUCUGUACCCCUGUUUGCACCCUGGCUGGGAGCCC
This 128-nucleotide ribosomal RNA is filed under the name Octodon degus (degu). Lineage: Eukaryota; Metazoa; Chordata; Mammalia; Rodentia; Octodontidae. The record is from RNAcentral.